UGGUGAAUGACGAUUGAUGAUUAUAAUGGCGCGCACGUGCUCCGGUAGCUUAGUUGGUUAGAGCGCCG
RNAcentral lists this microRNA precursor (68 nucleotides) under Schistosoma japonicum. RNAcentral describes it as "microRNA sja-mir-3488 precursor". The record is from miRBase by way of RNAcentral. Lineage: Eukaryota; Metazoa; Platyhelminthes; Trematoda; Strigeidida; Schistosomatidae.